Long non-coding RNA from Cebus imitator (Panamanian white-faced capuchin), 100 nucleotides. RefSeq lists it as uncharacterized. The transcript has 3 exons. NCBI's taxonomy places the organism in Eukaryota, Metazoa, Chordata, Mammalia, Primates, Cebidae. The record is from RefSeq and is a predicted model, not a curated record.
UUGUAAAAAUAUCAAGAAUACUGGAAUUAAAAGUGGAGCCUGAGGAUGUGACUGAAUUGUCACAAUCUCAUGAUAAAACUUCCACAAAUGAGGAGUUGCU